CAGUGGCGAACGGGUGAGUAACACGUGGGCAAUCUGCCCUGCACUCUGGGACAAGCCUUGGAAACGAGGUCUAAUACCGGAUAUUACCCUUGACCGCAUGGUCUUGGGUGGAAAGCUCCGGCGGUGCAGGAUGAGCCCGCGGCCUAUCAGCUUGUUGGUGGGGUGAUGGCCUACCAAGGCGACGACGGGUAGCCGGCCUGAGAGGGCGACCGGCCACACUGGGACUGAGACACGGCCCAGACUCCUACGGGAGGCAGCAGUGGGGAAUAUUGCACAAUGGGCGAAAGCCUGAUGCAGCGACGCCGCGUGAGGGAUGAAGGCCUUCGGGUUGUAAACCUCUUUCAGCAGGGAAGAAGCGCAAGUGACGGUACCUGCAGAAGAAGCACCGGCUAACUACGUGCCAGCAGCCGCGGUAAUACGUAGGGUGCGAGCGUUGUCCGGAAUUAUUGGGCGUAAAGAGCUCGUAGGCGGCUUGUCACGUCGGAUGUGAAAGCCCGGGGCUUAACCCCGGUUCUGCAUUCGAUACGGGCAGGCUAGAGUGUGGUAGGGGAGAUCGGGAAUUCCU
RNAcentral lists this ribosomal RNA (565 nucleotides) under Streptomyces sp. 384A12. Its description in RNAcentral is "bacterial SSU rRNA". It matches the Rfam family "Bacterial small subunit ribosomal RNA", at positions 93 to 671 of the family's 1533-position model. The record is from RNAcentral. Lineage: Bacteria; Bacillati; Actinomycetota; Actinomycetes; Kitasatosporales; Streptomycetaceae.